GGCUGUGAGAGCAAUCUGGCUGUGACAACUGUCACCCCACUGAUUGCUAGGGUUGAUGCAGCUGAUCUGGCUGGCUAGGUGGGUUCAUCCUUUCUCUCUCUCUCUGCUCCAUGUGUGUCCCUUGUGAAGCUGUGUGCUCAGUAAGUCCAAGAGGAUGACCUUCCCUGAUAGAAAAGGACCAUUCUUUGGUCAAGGGAAAAGGAGUAGAAUAGCUUCAUUCCCAUGCCAGAACCUCCAAAUGAGCUCUCAGAUCGUUCCAAGCAAAAAAAAAAAAAAAAAAAAAAAAAAAAAAAAAAAAAGGCUACUGUGAUUAACUGAAGCUUAAUUU
This 328-nucleotide small nuclear RNA is filed under the name Mustela putorius furo (domestic ferret). RNAcentral describes it as "7SK RNA (ENSMPUG00000022683.1)". It matches the Rfam family "7SK RNA". Rfam says of the family: 7SK was discovered as an abundant small nuclear RNA in the mid-70s but a possible function has only recently been suggested. Two independent studies have found that 7SK RNA binds the CDK9/cyclin T complex (known as elongation factor P-TEFb). P-TEFb activates transcription by phosphorylating the C-terminal domain of RNA polymerase II. The record is from RNAcentral. Lineage: Eukaryota; Metazoa; Chordata; Mammalia; Carnivora; Mustelidae.